AGAGCUAAAAGGCACACGGGGAACUAAAUUGACUGCAGGUGGGUCCGCAAGGGGUGGGAGCUCGCGAUCUAAACCGCGAAGAGAUCUUGGGGUCUUACACUACGCCAUUAGACUGCGGCACUCCUCUGUCCGCAGCAGCUGCUCUAAGAGUCCUUGCCACCGCCGCUCUUGCCCAGGCCUCUACUGCGGCUUCCACCUUUGCGGGAUCACAGCAGCCCAGCCCAACCCCGUCCUGCGCUACUGCUGCCUUCGCCGCUGCCACCUCCUCAGCCUCGGCCUCCGCCACCACCCAAGCAUCCUUUUGAAUGGGGGCAACUGUUUGCUGAAGUGUGAUGUGUGAAGAGGUGGAAAGAAAUGAACUCAAGCAUCUCAGAAGUUUCAAUUCAGGCAAUUCCAGUUGUGAAAGCAAUAUUUGGUCCUCCCUUAUGUCUCCUGGCAUCAUAAUUGGAAGUCAACUCUGAUUUAGCUGGCAUGUUUUCUCACUGAAAAAGAAUAAAUAAACCACAUGUUUCAUCA
This is a long non-coding RNA of Leopardus geoffroyi (Geoffroy's cat), 516 nucleotides long. RefSeq lists it as uncharacterized. The record is from RefSeq and is a predicted model, not a curated record. NCBI's taxonomy places the organism in Eukaryota, Metazoa, Chordata, Mammalia, Carnivora, Felidae. The transcript is spliced from 3 exons.